This 24-nucleotide non-coding RNA is filed under the name Arabidopsis thaliana (thale cress). Lineage: Eukaryota; Viridiplantae; Streptophyta; Magnoliopsida; Brassicales; Brassicaceae. The record is from RNAcentral.
UCACGAGCAAAUGAUUCGUUUGUU